This 406-nucleotide ribosomal RNA is filed under the name uncultured bacterium. RNAcentral's name for it is "partial 16S ribosomal RNA". It matches the Rfam family "Bacterial small subunit ribosomal RNA", at positions 30 to 526 of the family's 1533-position model. The record is from RNAcentral.
AUUGAACGCUGGCGGCAGGCCUAACACAUGCAAGUCGAACGAGUGGCGGACGGGUGAGUAAUGUCUGGGAAACUGCCUGAUGGAGGGGGAUAACUACUGGAAAAGGUAGCUAAUACCGCAUACCACCAGAGUUGCCCAUAUGGGUUUAGCUUUGUGGUGGGGUAACGGCUCACCAAGUCGACGAUCCCUUGCUGGUCUGAGAGGAUGACCAGCCACACUGGAACUGAGCCACGGUCCAGACUCCUACGGGAGGCAGCAGUGGGGAAUAUUGCACAAUGGGCGCAAGCCUGAUGCAGCCAUGCCGCGUGUAUGAAGAAGGCCUUCGGGUUGUAAAGUACUUUCAGCGGGGAGGCGUUACCCGCAGAAGAAGCACCGGCUAACUCCGUGCCAGCCGCCGCGGUAAUAC